GAUGAACGCUGGCGGCGUGCCUAAUACAUGCGAGUCGAGCGAACAGACGAGGAGCUUGCUCCUCUGACGUUAGCGGCGGACGGGUGAGUAACACGUGGAUAACCUACCUAUAAGACUGGGAUAACUUCGGGAAACCGGAGCUAAUACCGGAUAAUAUAUUGAACCGCAUGGUUCAAUAGUGAAAGACGGUUUUGCUGUCACUUAUAGAUGGAUCCGCGCCGCAUUAGCUAGUUGGUAAGGUAACGGCUUACCAAGGCAACGAUGCGUAGCCGACCUGAGAGGGUGAGCGGCCACACUGGAACUGAGACGCGGUCCAGACUCCUACGGGAGGCAGCAGUAGGGAAUCUUCCGCAAUGGGCGAAAGCCUGACGGAGCAACGCCGCGUGAGUGAUGAAGGUCUUCGGAUCGUAAAACUCUGUUAUUAGGGAAGAACAAAUGUGUAAGUAACUAUGCACGUCUUGACGGUACCUAAUCAGAAAGCCACGGCUAACUACGUG
This 497-nucleotide ribosomal RNA is filed under the name uncultured bacterium. Its description in RNAcentral is "partial 16S ribosomal RNA". It matches the Rfam family "Bacterial small subunit ribosomal RNA", at positions 28 to 507 of the family's 1533-position model. The record is from RNAcentral.